Molecule: ribosomal RNA, 253 nt
Filed under: uncultured bacterium
Lineage: Bacteria
Description: partial 16S ribosomal RNA
Rfam family: Bacterial small subunit ribosomal RNA
Source: RNAcentral
UACGAAGGGGGCUAGCGUUGCUCGGAAUCACUGGGCGUAAAGGGUGCGUAGGCGGGUCUUUAGGUCAGGGGUGAAAUCCUGGAGCUCAACUCCAGAACUGCCUUUGAUACUGAGGAUCUUGAGUCCGGGAGAGGUGAGUGGAACUGCGAGUGUAGAGGUGAAAUUCGUAGAUAUUCGCAAGAACACCAGUGGCGAAGGCGGCUCACUGGCCCGGUACUGACGCUGAGGCACGAAAGCGUGGGGAGCAAACAGG